Molecule: long non-coding RNA, 485 nt
Organism: Dendrobium catenatum
Lineage: Eukaryota; Viridiplantae; Streptophyta; Magnoliopsida; Asparagales; Orchidaceae
Exons: 3
Source: RefSeq, a predicted model, not a curated record
CUCUCUCUCUCUCUCUCUGUCUCUCUCUGGAGUCUUACACACUGUCUCUGUUACUCCAGUAACCCUUAGCUUCCAGCCGCAUCGACUGUUUUUUACUGUAGAUCUCGGAACCAAAUGUCUGUUUCCUCUUUCUUAGCUGAGCGUUUCUAGUUGUUUUUUCAUCUAAAUGUUGGACGGGGUGAUCUCAAGGAUCUAAUCAGUAACGGAUCUCACUGGUUCAAGAAUCCGAACAAAAUUCAUAUUUAGGAGUUGCUGUUUUGAAAAUGGGGAAAUCUCCUGGGAAAUGGAUUAAGACUUUACUUUUUGGAAAGAAAACAGCUCGAUCCGACUCAUCAAAAGGAAGGGAGGCCUCGAAAACUGCAACUCAGAAAGAGGUAGCUGUGGAAAAAGCCACAAAUGUUUCGGAUGUAGAUUCUUCUGUGAACUCUGGACCGGUGUUUAUCAGCACCAGCAGUUAUGUGGUUAAUUCCGAAAUGGGGAACAGA